RNAcentral lists this ribosomal RNA (396 nucleotides) under uncultured bacterium. Its description in RNAcentral is "partial 16S ribosomal RNA". It matches the Rfam family "Bacterial small subunit ribosomal RNA", at positions 523 to 918 of the family's 1533-position model. The record is from RNAcentral.
AUACGUAGGGGGCGAGCGUUGUCCGGAAUGAUUGGGCGUAAAGGGCGCGUAGGCGGCCUGUUAAGUCUGGAGUGAAAGUCCUGUUUUCAAGAUGGGAAUUGCUUUGGAUACUGAUGGGCUUGAGUGCAGGAGAGGUUAUCGGAAUUCCCGGUGUAGCGGUGAAAUGCGUAGAGAUCGGGAGGAACACCAGUGGCGAAGGCGGGUAACUGGACUGCAACUGACGCUGAGGCGCGAAAGUGUGGGGAGCAAACAGGAUUAGAUACCCUGGUAGUCCACACUGUAAACGAUGAUCACUAGGUGUGGGGGGACUGACCCCUUCCGUGCCGCAGUUAACACAAUAAGUGAUCCACCUGGGGAGUACGGCCGCAAGGUUGAAACUCAAAUGAAUUGACGGGG